Small nucleolar RNA from Cannabis sativa, 107 nucleotides. Lineage: Eukaryota; Viridiplantae; Streptophyta; Magnoliopsida; Rosales; Cannabaceae. The record is from RefSeq and is a predicted model, not a curated record.
AUCCCAUGAUUAGGGCAUUUUCUCAGUAAGUCCUUGAACCUCUCCCAUGCUUCAUACAGAGAUUCACUGUCCUGCUGGGUGAAGUUAUUGAUAUCAGCUCUCAACUU